ACCACAUUUACCUCUUCAAUGCAAUGCUUAGUUGGGACCAAGUAGGAUUCCUUCUAGCAAUCCCUGAAGGAUCUUUGCAGAAGCCUGGAAUUGCUUGGAGGGAAUUGUGGGGUUGGUGGAGGGCUUGGACUGGAAGCCUGCUACAUGUAGGUAACUUCUAGGCAUAUUGCAAAGAGGAUGAUCUCCAGAUGUGCUGAAAUAAUUUCCCAUUUGGAUGUUGGGAUAUUGUGAGGAUCAAAUGGGUUAUCAGCUGCUAAACCUGGUAGUAGGAUGGGCUUCUACAUAGGAGCUGCUGAAUUCUGUGGGUCUUUCUCUUCAACUGAACAUGUCUCUAAGACAAAGGUCUUCUGGUGUUUGGGCACUUUCCUUUAGUUUUUAGUCUAAAUUAUGCCAUGGCAAACCGAAACCCAUGUUUUCUGCUAGUGGAGUCAUUUUACUGAAAAAAAUACCGUUUAUCUGAUGUUCCUUGCCCAGAUCUAUCCUUUUUAUAACCACAGAGACAUGGAGAUCAUAGGCUGAAGUGAAUGUGCACAGCCCCAAUGAAAACAUUUAAAUUUUUUAGACAGAAAGAAUAUAUGAAAAAAGUCUUACACAACCCCCUGUCAGGGAAUUACCUGGCUCCACAAAAAAAGUCUGAAAGGUAGUGGAGUAACUUUUCUCUUAGCUGGCUUGUGGCCUAUUCGUUAAUUAAUGAUCACAAAGGUGAAGCCACAGGUACAGACAGUACCAUCUGUAUUUCAGUCUCAGGGAGAUCUAAAAUGCCUGGCUGCUACUAACCCAUGUAAGGGGCUGACAAUAGAUUGCUGGUCCGUUGUGAUGUGCUGCUCACCGAGAACAAGCCGAAGGUCAUGUGUGUGCCAGUCUGGGGGUAGCUUGGGAAGGUGCUCAGCUGCCAAAGCCAGACUCAUCCUGUGCUCUUUGAGAGGAAAAUCAACAGACUACAGAAAUGCUCAGGUGUGGUGCACGGCACCCUUCAGGAAGAAGUGUUGUUAAAGUAUCUCCCUUUUCACCUGAAAUCUUCACAUGCUACUUCAAGUUCUCAACUCCUCUUGGGAGCUCACAGCGUAAAGCCCCAUAUUUGAGGGCAUUCGGGGCAGUUUUACUUCACAUCUGUGCAGAUUCCCUUGAUGAUAUGUACAAUCUAAUUCAGGAUGGCUUUUUUUUCUCUUCUUGGGUGGGUAAACUAGUGCACAGAGCAGGAAGACUCAUCUGACCCUCUGCCCAGCACAGGCACUGCAAUAUUACCUGUGUGUCCUUGCAAGGGAGAGGAUUUGUCCUCCCUGUCGUGCAGCUAGAGGAUGCUGAGUGCUGUAUAAACACUGAAUCUCACAGCUGAACAGUUCACAGAGGGACCCUGUGAGUUCAGGUGGCUCCACCUUCAUGUCCCUUCAAGGGAUAUUUGUGCAUCCCACUGCUUCUGUCUCCUCUUGGAAGUUCAGCUGUGGAUUUUCUGGGUGAACAUCAAUCCCUCUGCUGAUGUUAGCUAGUGUGGUACAUGGUCUCUGUCAUGUGUACCAUAGUUCUCAGGUGGGGAUAAGAUAUUUUGCAAAUGCUUGGGCAUGACCUGUUGGAAGCGGCAGUUUCUAACAGUGGCCUCCAGCUUCAGCAGUGACAGCGUUUCCAGAGCUCCUCAUUUACUGCUGUGUUUGCAUCCUGAAGCUGGCAGCCUGGACAUUUCCACAUAAGAUAAGAUGAGAACGCUGACAUUGAGACACCUGCCAUCACGGGUACCCAGGGCACAAAAGGCACCGGGCAUGGCAGCUGGCCAGCCAGCUCCUGCCAUGCACGCCCAGAUGCCUGCUAAAUUUUGGGCUAAAGAGGGGGUCUGUCCAUUGCUUCUGCAUGCUGGUAGUAGAAGACUGCUCUAGAAACACACUUUUCCCUUGAAAGACACCAACUCCAUGAUCUACUCUUAGUCUGUUCCUGGGCUGCACAUACCCUUUUGCUGGUCUGCCAGUGUUGUCUGUAACACUGAGUUUCUUCAGCAUUUCCCUAGAAAUAGCGAUUGCAUAAGUUCCUCAGCUGAGAUAAAGUGACCCAGUCAACACUACAGCUGUCUGCAUGGCACUGGGCUUUCCUUAGCAUGGCGGGAGGAUGCAUUGGACAAAGCCAACGGACACAGCUGAAAGUCUUUUAUAUCUCCUCAGACUUGUGUGCUUGGGCUGCCUGAGCUCUGUCCUAGCACAUUUCUUCGCUCCCCGGUGUGACUGUCCCCUGAAUGGGACCCCUGUAACUUACAUUAAGAUGGUGUCUCUGGUUCUUCAAACUGGGAAGAAGAGGAAGGGGGGGUUAUAUUCUCUGGCUGGCAUUUGUCAUCCUGCUUUCUCCCCACCAGUUGCUGGCAUGCUGCAUCCUUUGGGCCAGAGCCUGGGCUAUCUCUGAUUUCAACUCAAGAGCUGUACCUUGCAUCUGAAGAGGGGACAGGUGGCUGGAACAUGCCAUAUCAUUAGAGGAUGUGACCAAGCAGCUUUGAGCCAGUGGGAUAUUACUGAAUCCUAGCAGUUGCUUCAGGGCAACCUGGAGGUUUUGCUCAUAGGAGGGAUUAAUUUGUGGCUUGGGUGCCUGGAGCACCAUGAGGCAUGGAGAUCAGAGGUGAAGCUGGCUGAUGGAUGUGCCCUCUCGAGGCUGCUUGGCCAAGCGAGCACCCCAAGGCAUGCAGGUUUUAUUGACGGCAGCUGGCUAUGCUGGCACAGAGGUAAGUAGAGAGGACACAGGACGGGUUUGGGGGGGCUAGGUGGUAGCUGUGGAUACAGCUGUGGUUAGAGAAGAUAUGGGUGAUGUGGCAGAGGAGGUGCAUGGGUAACCCUAUUGCAUAAUAUACUGAUCUGUUUUUUGCAGCUUCUUAGUUACAGCUGUUCUGAGGACACCUUUGUUGUGGCAUUUGCAGUGGGUUGAUAAUACGCUUAGUGAGAGAAAACCCAAGUUAUCUGUAUUAUCUCAUUUAUUAUGGGCAUCCUUUGUGCAUUUAAAAUUAAAAUUGGACAAAACCUCAUGUUCAAUGUAACCUGUUAACGGCGCUCACCAGUGAUUGGGGGCAGUGUUGUUAGUGGAGCACAGUGUAUCCCACAAAAAGGCCCUCCUGUAUGCCACUCUGCUUUCUGUCUGCCUUAUCUCUGCAGAUGAAUGCUGUACGAAGUCAGCCGCUGGGUUGCUGCACAGCUGCCUGCUCACGAUGCUGGAACCACAGUCAAUGUCACUGUGAUGCUAAUUGCAACAGCAGCAGUUGGGAUUUCCCAGUUUGACACUUUCUACCCCAAUAAUGAUUCCUGUAGGGGCAGAGGACAACUCGCUAGUGUCCUCCGGAGUACCUCAAGCAUAGAACUCUGACAACUUUAUCAGCUUAGGAAAAAAAAUAAAUAAAAGGAGGACAAACCCCUUUCUAACUGUUAGAACUCCUCCCUUGCAGCUUUAAAUGAAGAUUGCACAUUGGACCCCUGUUUAGGUGUUGCCCAUGGAAGGAGAUGCUGGGUUGGCUGUGGCUGGGCUGGACACCCCCAGGGUUGUCUCUUGCUGUUCAUGGGUUUCCUCUCCAUCUCCCAUUUCUAAGGGGGUUUUACACUGUAUUUAUGACAAAGUGGGCA
Falco peregrinus (peregrine falcon) is the source of this 3581-nucleotide long non-coding RNA. RefSeq lists it as uncharacterized. NCBI's taxonomy places the organism in Eukaryota, Metazoa, Chordata, Aves, Falconiformes, Falconidae. The record is from RefSeq and is a predicted model, not a curated record. The transcript has 3 exons.